CUAAUACAUGCAAGUCGAACGAGUUCUCGUUGAUGAUCGGUGCUUGCACCGAGAUUCAACAUGGAACGAGUGGCGGACGGGUGAGUAACACGUGGGUAACCUGCCCUUAAGUGGGGGAUAACAUUUGGAAACAGAUGCUAAUACCGCAUAGAUCCAAGAACCGCAUGGUUCUUGGCUGAAAGAUGGCGUAAGCUAUCGCUUUUGGAUGGACCCGCGGCGUAUUAGCUAGUUGGUGAGGUAAUGGCUCACCAAGGCGAUGAUACGUAGCCGAACUGAGAGGUUGAUCGGCCACAUUGGGACUGAGACACGGCCCAAACUCCUACGGGAGGCAGCAGUAGGGAAUCUUCCACAAUGGACGCAAGUCUGAUGGAGCAACGCCGCGUGAGUGAAGAAGGCUUUCGGGUCGUAAAACUCUGUUGUUGGAGAAGAAUGGUCGGCAGAGUAACUGUUGUCGGCGUGACGGUAUCCAACCAGAAAGCCACGGCUAACUACGUGCCAGCAGCCGCGGUAAUACGUAGGUGGCAAGCGUUAUCCGGAUUUAUUGGGCGUAAAGCGAGCGCAGGCGGUUUUUUAAGUCUGAUGUGAAAGCCCUCGGCUUAACCGAGGAAGCGCAUCGGAAACUGGGAAACUUGAGUGCAGAAGAGGACAGUGGAACUCCAUGUGUAGCGGUGAAAUGCGUAGAUAUAUGGAAGAACACCAGUGGCGAAGGCGGCUGUCUGGUCUGUAACUGACGCUGAGGCUCGAAAGCAUGGGUAGCGAACAGGAUUAGAUACCCUGGUAGUCCAUGCCGUAAACGAUGAAUGCUAGGUGUUGGAGGGUUUCCGCCCUUCAGUGCCGCAGCUAACGCAUUAAGCAUUCCGCCUGGGGAGUACGACCGCAAGGUUGAAACUCAAAGGAAUUGACGGGGGCCCGCACAAGCGGUGGAGCAUGUGGUUUAAUUCGAAGCAACGCGAAGAACCUUACCAGGUCUUGACAUCUUUUGAUCACCUGAGAGAUCAGGUUUCCCCUUCGGGGGCAAAAUGACAGGUGGUGCAUGGUUGUCGUCAGCUCGUGUCGUGAGAUGUUGGGUUAAGUCCCGCAACGAGCGCAACCCUUAUGACUAGUUGCCAGCAUUUAGUUGGGCACUCUAGUAAGACUGCCGGUGACAAACCGGAGGAAGGUGGGGAUGACGUCAAAUCAUCAUGCCCCUUAUGACCUGGGCUACACACGUGCUACAAUGGAUGGUACAACGAGUUGCGAGACCGCGAGGUCAAGCUAAUCUCUUAAAGCCAUUCUCAGUUCGGACUGUAGGCUGCAACUCGCCUACACGAAGUCGGAAUCGCUAGUAAUCGCGGAUCAGCACGCCGCGGUGAAUACGUUCCCGGGCCUUGUACACACCGCCCGUCACACCAUGAGAGUUUGUAACACCCGAAGCCGGUGGCGUAACCCUUUUAGGGAGCGAGCCGUCUAAGGUG
Molecule: ribosomal RNA, 1454 nt
Filed under: Lacticaseibacillus casei
Lineage: Bacteria; Bacillati; Bacillota; Bacilli; Lactobacillales; Lactobacillaceae
Also listed under: 1 other name
Description: Lactobacillus casei 16S ribosomal RNA
Rfam family: Bacterial small subunit ribosomal RNA
Source: RNAcentral